This 1456-nucleotide ribosomal RNA is filed under the name uncultured Alphaproteobacteria bacterium. RNAcentral describes it as "bacterial SSU rRNA". It matches the Rfam family "Bacterial small subunit ribosomal RNA". The record is from RNAcentral. Lineage: Bacteria; Pseudomonadati; Pseudomonadota; Alphaproteobacteria.
CUCUUUGAUCCUCCUCAGAACGAACGCUGGCGGCGCGCUUAACACAUGCAAGUCGAACGAAGUAUCUGUCAUCGGAUGGACUACUUAGUGGCGCACGGGUGAGUAACGCGUUCAACCUGCCCUUUGCUACGGGACAACCGCGGGAAACUGCGGCUAAUACCGUAUAAUGCAGCGACGUAAGUUGUUGCCAAAGAUUUAUCGGCGAAGGAGGGGCCCGCGUUGGAUUAGCUUGUUGGUGGGGUAACGGCUUACCAAGGCUUCGAUCCAUAGCUGGUCUGAGAGGACGAUCAGCCACAUACCGACUGAGACACGGCCCAGACUCCUACGGGAGGCAGCAGUGGGGAAUCUUGGACAAUGGGGGCAACCCUGAUCCAGCGACGCCGCGUGGAUGAAGAAGGCCUUAGGGUUGUAAAGUCCUAUCACCGCCUAGAAUGAUGAUGUUACCCGGAGAAGAAGCACCGGCUAACUCCGUGCCAGCAGCCGCGGUAAGACGGAGCAUGCUAGCGUUGUUCUCGGAAUCACUGCGCGUAAAGGCUCGUAGGCGGCCUAGAUAGUCAGAUGUGAAAGCCCAGGGCCCAACCCUGGAACUGCAUUUGAUACUCCUAGGCUAGAGGUCGAUCGGAGAGUGGAAUACCCAGUGUAGAGGUGAAAUUCGUAGAUAUUGGGUGGAACACCAGUGGCGAAAGCGGCUCUCUGGUUCGAUUCUGACGCUGAGGCGCGAAAGCGUGGUUCGCAAACAGGAUUAGAUACCCUGGUAGUCCACGCCCUAAACGAUGUGUGCUAGGCGUCGGGGGGCUUGCCCUUCGGUGCCGGAGCUAACGUGUUAAGCACACCGCCUGGGGAGUACGGUCGCAAGAUUAAAACUCAAAGGAAUUGACCUAAAGGUGCACAAGCGGUGGAGCAUGUGGUUACGUCGACGCAACGCGCAGAACCUUACCAGCCCUUGACAUGGUGGUUACGAUUAGGGAGACGGAUCUCUCAGUUCGGCUGGACCAUCACAGGUGCUGCAUGGCUGUCGUCCAGGGUGUCGUGAGAUGUUGGGUUAAGUCCCGCAACGAGCGCAACCCUUGCCAUGGAUGCCAUCGGGUAGGGCCGGGCACUCUGAAGGAACUGCCGGUGACAAGCCGGAGGAAGGUGGGGAUGACGUCAAGUCCUCAUGGCCCAGUGGGCUGGGCUACACACGUGCUACAAUGGCGGUGACAAUGGGCAGCGAAGGAGCGAUCCGGAGCUAAUCCCCAAAUCCCGUCUCAGUUCGGAUUGCACGCUGCAACUCGCGUGCAUGAAGGUGGAAUCGCUAGUAAUCGUGGAUCAGCAUGCCACGGUGAAUACGUUCCCGGGCCUUGUACACACCGCCCGUCACACCAUGGGAGUUGGUAGUACCCGAGUCGUGUGGGCCUUGUCAAGGAGGCAGCCGUUCACGGUAAGGUCAGCGACUGGGGUGAAGUCGAGGUACCAG